GACGAACGCUGGCGGCGUGCCUAAUACAUGCAAGUGGGACGCAAGGGAACACACUGUGCUUGCACACCGUGUUUUCUUGAGUCGCGAACGGGUGAGUAACGCGUAGGUAACCUGCCUAUUAGCGGGGGAUAACUAUUGGAAACGAUAGCUAAUACCGCAUAAUAUUAAUUAUUGCAUGAUAAUUGAUUGAAAGAUGCAAGCGCAUCACUAGUAGAUGGACCUGCGUUGUAUUAGCUAGUUGGUAAGGUAAGAGCUUACCAAGGCGACGAUACAUAGCCGACCUGAGAGGGUGAUCGGCCACACUGGGACUGAGACACGGCCCAGACUCCUACGGGAGGCAGCAGUAGGGAAUCUUCGGCAAUGGACGAAAGUCUGACCGAGCAACGCCGCGUGAGUGAAGAAGGUUUUCGGAUCGUAAAGCUCUGUUGUAAGUCAAGGACGUGUGUGAGAGUGGAAAGUUCACACAGGAC
Molecule: ribosomal RNA, 470 nt
Filed under: Streptococcus mutans
Lineage: Bacteria; Bacillati; Bacillota; Bacilli; Lactobacillales; Streptococcaceae
Description: bacterial SSU rRNA
Rfam family: Bacterial small subunit ribosomal RNA
Source: RNAcentral